RNAcentral lists this ribosomal RNA (460 nucleotides) under uncultured bacterium. RNAcentral describes it as "partial 16S ribosomal RNA". It matches the Rfam family "Bacterial small subunit ribosomal RNA", at positions 338 to 795 of the family's 1533-position model. The record is from RNAcentral.
CCUACGGGCGGCAGCAGUGAGGAAUAUUGGUCAAUGGACGAGAGUCUGAACCAGCCAAGUAGCGUGAAGGAUGACUGCCCUAUGGGUUGUAAACUUCUUUUAUAUGGGAAUAAAAUGUUCCACGUGUGGGAUUUUGUAUGUACCAUAUGAAUAAGGAUCGGCUAACUCCGUGCCAGCAGCCGCGUUAAUACGGAGGAUCCGAGCGUUAUCCGGAUUUAUUGGGUUUAAAGGGAGCGUAGGUGGAUUGUUAAGUCAGUUGUGAAAGUUUGCGGCUCAACCGUAAAAUUGCAGUUGAAACUGGCAGUCUUGAGUACAGUAGAGGUGGGCGGAAUUCGUGGUGUAGCGGUGAAAUGCUUAGAUAUCACGAAGAACUCCGAUUGCGAAGGCAGUUCACUGGACUGCAACUGACACUGAGGCUCGAAAGUGUGGGUAUCAAACAGGAUUAGAUACCCCUGUAGUC